This 492-nucleotide ribosomal RNA is filed under the name uncultured bacterium. Its description in RNAcentral is "partial 16S ribosomal RNA". It matches the Rfam family "Bacterial small subunit ribosomal RNA", at positions 29 to 507 of the family's 1533-position model. The record is from RNAcentral.
AGUGAACGCUGGCGGUAGGCCUUACACAUGCAAGUCGAACGGCAGCACAGUAAGAGCUUGCUCUUACGGGUGGCGAGUGGCGGACGGGUGCGGAAUACGUCGGAAUCUACUUUUUCGUGGGGGGUAACGUAGGGAAACUUACGCUAAUACCGCAUACGACCUACGGGUGAAAGCAGGGGAUCUUCGGACCUUGCGCGAUUGAAUGAGCCGAUGUCGGAUUAGCUAGUUGGCGGGGUAAAGGCCCACCAAGGCGACGAUCCGUAGCUGGUCUGUGAGGAUGAUCAGCCACACUGGAACUGAGACACGGUCCAGACUCCUACGGGAGGCAGCAGUGGGGAAUAUUGGACAAUGGGCGCAAGCCUGAUCCAGCAAUGCCGCGUGGGUGAAGAAGGCCUUCGGGUUGUAAAGUCCUUUUGUUGGGAAAGAAAAGCAGCAGGUUAAUACCCCGCUGUUCUGACGGUACCCAAAGAAUAAGCACCGGCUAACUUCGUG